GUGCCUAACACAUGCAAGUCGAGCGGAGAUUAUAGCAAUGUAAUCUUAGCGGCGGACGGGUGAGUAACGCGUGGGCAACCUACCUCAAACUGGGGGAUAACACAGGGAAACUUGUGCUAAUACCGCAUAACAUCAUGAGAAGACAUCUUUUUAUGAUCAAAGGAGUAAUCCGGUGAGAGAUGGGCCCGCGUCCAAUUAGCUAGUUGGUGAGGUAACGGCCCACCAAGGCGACGAUUGGUAGCCGAACUGAGAGGUUGAUCAGCCACACUGGGACUGAGACACGGCCCAGACUCCUACGGGAGGCAGCAGUGGGGAAUUUUGGACAAUGGGCGAAAGCCUGAUCCAGCAAUGCCGCGUGUGUGA
Molecule: ribosomal RNA, 363 nt
Filed under: uncultured bacterium
Lineage: Bacteria
Description: bacterial SSU rRNA
Rfam family: Bacterial small subunit ribosomal RNA
Source: RNAcentral